This 722-nucleotide ribosomal RNA is filed under the name uncultured Ruegeria sp. RNAcentral describes it as "bacterial SSU rRNA". It matches the Rfam family "Bacterial small subunit ribosomal RNA", at positions 36 to 804 of the family's 1533-position model. Lineage: Bacteria; Pseudomonadati; Pseudomonadota; Alphaproteobacteria; Rhodobacterales; Roseobacteraceae. The record is from RNAcentral.
CUGGCGGCAGGCCUAACACAUGCAAGUCGAGCGCUCUCUUCGGAGGGAGCGGCGGACGGGUGAGUAACGCGUGGGAACGUGCCCUUCUCUAUGGAAUAGCCACUGGAAACGGUGAGUAAUACCAUAUACGCCCUUCGGGGGAAAGAUUUAUCGGAGAAGGAUCGGCCCGCGUUAGAUUAGGUAGUUGGUGGGGUAAUGGCCUACCAAGCCUACGAUCUAUAGCUGGUUUUAGAGGAUGAUCAGCCACACUGGGACUGAGACACGGCCCAGACUCCUACGGGAGGCAGCAGUGGGGAAUCUUAGACAAUGGGCGCAAGCCUGAUCUAGCCAUGCCGCGUGAGUGAUGAAGGCCUUAGGGUCGUAAAGCUCUUUCGCCAGAGAUGAUAAUGACAGUAUCUGGUAAAGAAACCCCGGCUAACUCCGUGCCAGCAGCCGCGGUAAUACGGAGGGGGUUAGCGUUGUUCGGAAUUACUGGGCGUAAAGCGCACGUAGGCGGAUUAGAAAGUUGGGGGUGAAAUCCCGGGGCUCAACCUCGGAACGGCCUCCAAAACUCCUAGUCUAGAGUUCGAGAGAGGUGAGUGGAAUUCCAAGUGUAGAGGUGAAAUUCGUAGAUAUUUGGAGGAACACCAGUGGCGAAGGCGGCUCACUGGCUCGAUACUGACGCUGAGGUGCGAAAGUGUGGGGAGCAAACAGGAUUAGAUACCCUGGUAGUCCACACCGUA